Long non-coding RNA from Mercenaria mercenaria, 255 nucleotides. RefSeq lists it as uncharacterized. The record is from RefSeq and is a predicted model, not a curated record. The transcript is spliced from 3 exons. Lineage: Eukaryota; Metazoa; Mollusca; Bivalvia; Venerida; Veneridae.
AGGUUGAUAAUUAAUGGAGUAGAGAAACAGCAUUAACAAUAGUAGAAGCAUGUCUUACCCUGGGUAUAGAAGCGUGUAUUUCUCUAGGCAUAGACCAUCAUCUGACAGAGAUUCAAAAGGUCAAAGUGGGGGUGGUGCAAACAAAAUUGCCGGUGGACCUGUUACAGUUGAUAAAGAAAAGGAACAAGGUGCAGUAUCAAAGUUAUAUCCUGACCUUGAAGUAAGUUAUAUAUUUGGUAAUUGUUAUAUUUAUGU